Molecule: ribosomal RNA, 410 nt
Filed under: Bacillus subtilis
Lineage: Bacteria; Bacillati; Bacillota; Bacilli; Caryophanales; Bacillaceae
Description: LSU rRNA
Rfam family: Bacterial large subunit ribosomal RNA
Source: RNAcentral
GUUUGGCACCUCGAUGUCGGCUCAUCGCAUCCUGGGGCUGUAGUCGGUCCCAAGGGUUGGGCUGUUCGCCCAUUAAAGCGGUACGCGAGCUGGGUUCAGAACGUCGUGAGACAGUUCGGUCCCUAUCCGUCGCGGGCGCAGGAAAUUUGAGAGGAGCUGUCCUUAGUACGAGAGGACCGGGAUGGACGCACCGCUGGUGUACCAGUUGUUCUGCCAAGGGCAUCGCUGGGUAGCUAUGUGCGGACGGGAUAAGUGCUGAAAGCAUCUAAGCAUGAAGCCCCCCUCAAGAUGAGAUUUCCCAUUCCGCAAGGAAGUAAGAUCCCUGAAAGAUGAUCAGGUUGAUAGGUCUGAGGUGGAAGUGUGGCGACACAUGGAGCUGACAGAUACUAAUCGAUCGAGGACUUAACCAC